UGGUGGCAUCAGCUUGACCCGAUAAUACAUCGCAUCCCAGGUACAAUAACACUGGGAUUGAGGAUGGGAAAAUUAAAUAACACAUUUAACACUGCAAAGGGUAUAGUAUACUCAGCGCAUAAUUAUUCAAAUUUAUCUGCCAAUAUGACUUGCAUCAUAAUGUUGACAUAUGCAUUUGUAAACAAUACAAUCAGAUGUUUUUAGUGUAAUUCAAUAUCUUUAUUUAACAACUGAAUGCAAAGGAACUGACACCAGAAUACCGGGAUCACAGGACCUCCAACCUGAACUGCAGACAUCACAAGACGUGUAUGACGCUGUUUUAAAUGUAAGUUCAAUCCUCCCGUGGGCAUUGUGGGUUAAUACAGGUCUCCAGUUCUCACUUCUGACUGUAAGAGACAACUAAAUGGAUCGGGUGGUCAAUCCAUAAAGUGUUGACUACAUGCCCAGAUAUCCGCUUUAAUGAUGUCAUGAACUAGACGUUGCACUCUUGAUUCCAGCACUAAUCUUGUCAUGACCAAAUGCUAAAGUUGAUAUUCAGCAAGUUGAAGAUAACUGACACCACCUUUAAGUAUAAGUUUCACAAAUAUGGUGAAAUAUAUAUUAUAUAUAUUAUAAGAAUGGUAUUCAGAUUUUUUUUGUUUUCACUACUGAUUAAUAUAUAGUUUAAAAAAUGGAUUUCUGUAAUAGAAUAAAGUAUUGGAAUACA
Long non-coding RNA from Haliotis rufescens (red abalone), 706 nucleotides. RefSeq lists it as uncharacterized. The transcript has 2 exons. Lineage: Eukaryota; Metazoa; Mollusca; Gastropoda; Lepetellida; Haliotidae. The record is from RefSeq and is a predicted model, not a curated record.